GAACACAACCGGCGCCAGGGUCCCAGGGAGAGAGGCAGCAGGAAGUGAGGCUGAGGGGCUGUCUGUGUUGCGCAGGGAGCCGGGCAGGGCUGUUUUCCAUGGCUGCCGGCCCUCUCCUUAGAUGACUACACAGCUGCUUUUCACAGCGCUCAGCCUGCCCUCCUGGAGGGAGCAUUUGAGGAGAAAAUCCAUCUCAACAUCCACAUGUGUAUGACUGGAACGCGGGGCAGGGCGAGGAAGACCAAAGCUCCCCCACUUUCAGGAGGCGACUCCCCCUUCUCUGCUGGACAGGGGCGAGCAGGAACCACGUUGGCUUUGGAAGUUCACAGGGCAGUGGAUCAGGGCCACAGGAGGAACAAGAUGGUGCAGCUGCAGGCACUUCCGAGUGACAAGAGACAGGCAUGCGUUCCAGGUGAUCUGCGGGGCACCCACUCACAGGGCUUGGCAAGGUCCUGCAGUCAUGGGGAACGUGAACGUUCUGACCCAGGCCUUCUGUCAUUGGUCCCAAGCCCACAUCAUUUCUGCGACAGCGUAACUAUCCAGUAAGUCAUCUGCUUACCAGUGUCCCCCGAGCCAAGGACAGUGAUGGAAAGCCGUGUGGAAUCACUCCGGAAGAGGAACGUCGGUGGCCCUUUAAGCAGGAUGAAGUCGAUCCUACAGGCCACCCGGUUUGCCACGUGGCACAUGCUGUGCUAAGUGCUCCCCGUGACCUCGUUCAAUCCCUGCAGAGCCCCUGCUGGCCGUUGUGGUACGGUUGGCACCAGCACGGACUCCAGAGCCCACCGCCUGGCCUGUGGUCCCAGCUCUGCCCUUAUUAGCGGUGGAACCUGGGCAGCAACUUAACCUCUCCGUGCCUCCGUUUCCUCAUCCAUAAAAUAAGAAUAGCACUGGUACCCCUGCACAGGGCUGCUGCGAGAAUCAAGUGAGCUAGUAUCUGCUUAGAGAAAGCCUGUUAACAGUGCAUGCUUCCCAUGACUGCAGUAACAAAGUCCUGCAAAUUUAGAGGCUGAAAAGAACACAAGUUUUGGAAGCUAGAAGUCCAACAUGCAUCUCCCUGGGCUAGAAUCAAGGUGUGGGCAGGGCCAGUUCCUCCGAGGGCUCCAGAGGAGGAUCCCUUCCUUGUCUUUUCCAGCUUCUAGAGGCCGCCUGCAUUCCUUGGCUCGUGGCACCUCCUUCAUCUUGAAGCAACAUUGUAUCUUUCUGACCUCAGCCUCUGUCAUCACAUCAUCAUUCUCUGAUUCUCUAUUCUGCCUCCUUCUUCCAUAUUUAAGGACCCUGUGAUUACAUUCGACCCACCUGGAUAACCCAGGGGAAUCUCCCUAUUUUAAGGUCAGCUGAUUGGCAGCCUGCGUUCCACCUGCUACCUGAAUGCCCCUCUGCCACAGAAGGGUGCCUCGCUGGAAAUUAAUGCAAGGGGAGCUAGUGUGGUCUGUGAAGGCUCCUUUGAGCAGGCGACAUCUGAGCUGCCCUCUGAAGAUGACAAGGAUCCAAACGUGACAGGGAGAAGGAGGCGCUGCAGGCAGAGGACAAAGGUGCUAGAUGGACCCAAAGUUAAGGACACAGGAUUCCUCCCCUCUGAAGGGCACAGCAACAAGGCGCCACCAUGGAAGCAGGGUCCAGGCCCUCACCCGACACGAAGCCUGCCAGGGCGUUGAUCUUGGACAUCCCAGCCUCCAGAGCAGGGUACGUUCUGCUUUUUAUAAAUUACCUAGUCUCAGAUAUUUUGUUACAGCAGCAGGAAUGGACUAAGACACAGUGCAUGCUGGUGACCUUGUGUAAAUACCAAAAAUGUCCCAAUUGGCAGUUCCUGUCCCCACCUGAUAGCUCCUCUCAGCCCACACGUGGGCAGACCAGGGGUGCUAGGGGGUCCUCAGUAGCCAUGGAUGGGAGUUGGAGGAUAAAUACCCCCAAUUCCUCACCUUUUGGGUGGGAUAUGCUGAGAGUGUUCUAUACCAUCUCCUGAGGUUCCCAGCAGGGCUGAGCUAGUCAAAGGUCAAGUUAUUAAGAUUUUCCAGAUGGCAAUGGCUGAGUGUUAAGCCCAGCCCAGGGCUCUCUGAGGGAAUGUCCUGUAUGGCUGCACAGGGUGUGCUGAAGCCCCACCAUCUUUUCUUGUAAUAAUUCUGCUUGUUUAUUCACCUUAUUUUAUUUUUAAAAAAUUGUUCUUAGCUUAAGCUAGCUCAAGUGGGUUUUAUGUUACAUACAACUAAGGAAACUUUGACCAGGCAGGUAUGAGAAGACUCAGAGGUUCCCUUUCCUGGGUAGCAUUUUUCCAUUUUAAUGAUGCUGCUUUGGAGAUAGCACCAAAAUGACUCUAAUGGAGAAGACUUCAGGAAGGUCUCCUUUGGGAGACUUGGCAGCUCCACAUCUGGCCCAAGGGCCUGCUGGUCCUGGCCCAAAGCACCAUUCCAGCCUCCAGACAGUGAUGUCUUUGUCUUAUUUUACACUGCUAUAACAGAAUGCCACAGGCUGGGAAAUGAACAGAAAUUUAUUUGGCUCCUGGUUCUGGAGGCUGGGAAGUCCAAGAUCAAGGGGUUGCAUCUGGUGAGGAACUUCUUGCAGUGUCAUCCCACGGCAGAAGUGUCAGAGAGCCAGAGAGAGCAAUGUGGCCAACUCAUAGCCUCAGGCCCCUUUGUAAUUGUCAUUAAUCCUUCCAUGGGGUGGAAGGAUUGAUGACCUAAACCCCUCCCAUUAGGCCCCGCCUCCCAACAUUGUUGCCCUGGAGAUUAAGUUUGCAACACAUGCUUUUUGGGGGAUGGAUUCAAUACAGAGCAGUCUUGGAUUCAGUUUUUCAGCAAGACUUACACACACCUUUCGAUGGAAAGAAAUGGGUCACAGAGAAGGCAGCAUUUGGUCCAAAAUCCCAAGGUUGAAAACCACCAAAGGCAACUUGCUUCCAAGGUUCCAACUGCAUAAUUCAGAAAAAAGACAACCUGACCAUGGAAAGUGUUACCCCAAUGCCUGGAGGGCAGCCUGGAGACUGCUGCAGAGGCCAUGGAACUAUUUGGUGGCCCAAAGGAUGGGAAAUUAUGACCAUAAACAACCAAAGAGCAAAUACAGAAGGGGAAAAAUCUCCUGGAUGAAGCAGGUAUAGAAAAUUGGUUUUGUUUCAGGCACAAACUCUCAUCCACUGCCAGAGACUUUCUAGAGGCCUGGGAUUGAUGAGUGAGGUCUGACAAGGACACAGAAUGGGGAGAAUGAACGGCAAGCUCUUGGCAUGCUGGAAAGGAGAGUUCUCAUCGGUAUCACUGUCUCUGCUCCUGUAGUGAGCUGUGCACAACAUUAUUCUGAAGCUGGAAAGGUAGUCUGGGGCCAGUUACACAAGAAGAGCUUUCAGUGCCCAGAAUGAAAGAAGGAGCCUCGCUCCGUCGCCCAGGCUGGAGUGCAGUGGCGUGAUCUCGGCUCACUGCAACCUCCGCCUCUCGGGU
Long non-coding RNA from Chlorocebus sabaeus (green monkey), 3425 nucleotides. RefSeq lists it as uncharacterized. Lineage: Eukaryota; Metazoa; Chordata; Mammalia; Primates; Cercopithecidae. The record is from RefSeq and is a predicted model, not a curated record.